AUUGAACGCUGGCGGCAUGCCUUACACAUGCAAGUCGAACGGCAGCACGGGGGCAACCCUGGUGGCGAGUGGCGAACGGGUGAGUAACAUAUCGGAACGUGCCCUGGAGUGGGGGAUAACUAGUCGAAAGAUUAGCUAAUACCGCAUACGAUCUACGGAUGAAAGUGGGGGAUCGCAAGACCUCAUGCUCGUGGAGCGGCCGAUAUCUGAUUAGCUAGUUGGUGGGGUAAAGGCCUACCAAGGCAUCGAUCAGUAGCUGGUCUGAGAGGACGACCAGCCACACUGGGACUGAGACACGGCCCAGACUCCUACGGGAGGCAGCAGCGGGGAAUUUUGGACAAUGGGCGCAAGCCUGAUCCAGCAAUGCCGCGUGAGUGAAGAAGGCCUUCGGGUUGUAAAGCUCUUUUGUCAGGGAAGAAACGGUGAGGGCUAAUAUCCCUUGCUAAUGACGGUACCUGAAGAAUAAGCACCGGCUAACUACGUGCCAGCAGCCGCGGUAAUACGUAGGGUGCAAGCGUUAAUCGGAAUUACUGGGCGUAAAGCGUGCGCAGGCGGUUGUGCAAGACCGAUGUGAAAUCCCCGGGCUUAACCUGGGAAUGGCAUUGGUGACUGCACGGCUAGAGUGUGUCAGAGGGGGGUAGAAUUCCACGUGUAGCAGUGAAAUGCGUAGAGAUGUGGAGGAAUACCGAUGGCGAAGGCAGCCCCCUGGGAUAACACUGACGCUCAUGCACGAAAGCGUGGGGAGCAAACAGGAUUAGAUACCCUGGUAGUCCACGCCCUAAACGAUGUCAACUAGUUGUCGGGUCUUAAUUGACUUGGUAACGCAGCUAACGCGUGAAGUUGACCGCCUGGGGAGUACGGUCGCAAGAUUAAAACUCAAAGGAAUUGACGGGGACCCGCACAAGCGGUGGAUGAUGUGGAUUAAUUCGAUGCAACGCGAAAAACCUUACCUACCCUUGACAUGGCAGGAAUCCUUGAGAGAUCAGGGAGUGCUCGAAAGAGAACCUGCACACAGGUGCUGCAUGGCUGUCGUCAGCUCGUGUCGUGAGAUGUUGGGUUAAGUCCCGCAACGAGCGCAACCCUUGUCAUUAGUUGCUACGAAAGGGCACUCUAAUGAGACUGCCGGUGACAAACCGGAGGAAGGUGGGGAUGACGUCAAGUCCUCAUGGCCCUUAUGGGUAGGGCUUCACACGUCAUACAAUGGUACAUACAGAGGGCCGCCAACCCGCGAGGGGGAGCUAAUCCCAGAAAGUGUAUCGUAGUCCGGAUUGCAGUCUGCAACUCGACUGCAUGAAGUUGGAAUCGCUAGUAAUCGCGGAUCAGCAUGUCGCGGUGAAUACGUUCCCGGGUCUUGUACACACCGCCCGUCACACCAUGGGAGCGGGUUUUACCAGAAGUAGGUAGCUUAACCGCAAGGAGGGCGCUUACCACGGUAGGAUUCGUGACUGGGGUG
This 1453-nucleotide ribosomal RNA is filed under the name uncultured beta proteobacterium. RNAcentral describes it as "bacterial SSU rRNA". It matches the Rfam family "Bacterial small subunit ribosomal RNA". Lineage: Bacteria; Pseudomonadati; Pseudomonadota; Betaproteobacteria. The record is from RNAcentral.